RNAcentral lists this ribosomal RNA (253 nucleotides) under uncultured bacterium. RNAcentral describes it as "partial 16S ribosomal RNA". It matches the Rfam family "Bacterial small subunit ribosomal RNA", at positions 524 to 776 of the family's 1533-position model. The record is from RNAcentral.
UACGUAGGGGGCAAGCGUUAUCCGGACUUACUAGGUGUAAAGGGGGCGCAGACGGCGAUGCAAGCCAGGAGUGAAAGCCCGGGGCCCAACCCCGGGACUGCUCUUGGAACUGCGUGGCUGGAGUGCAGGAGGGGCAGGCGGAAUUCCUGGUGUAGCGGUGAAAUGCGUAGAUAUCAGGAGGAACACCGGUGGCGAAGGCGGCCUGCUGGACUGCAACUGACGUUGAGGCCCGAAAGCGUGGGGAGCAAACAGG